This 864-nucleotide long non-coding RNA is filed under the name Oryctolagus cuniculus (rabbit). RNAcentral's name for it is "lncRNA (ENSOCUG00000031640.1)". Lineage: Eukaryota; Metazoa; Chordata; Mammalia; Lagomorpha; Leporidae. The record is from RNAcentral.
GUUAGACAAGGCUUACAGUUAUUGUGUCUUUAUAGCUGAAGAAAUAAGUUUUUUUAAAAAAUAAAAUGAAAGCAGCAUAUCAACAUCUUGGGUUAUAGCACAACAGUAUUAAGAGGGUAGUUUCUAGCAAUAAGUGAAUGUAUUUUAAAGAUAAAAAUAGAUCAAAUAAACAAUCUAACAAUGCAUUUCAACAGCUCAAAAAAUGAUACAAGAUGACUGAAUAAUGAGAAGCUGCCCUGACCUCUACUGUGGAAACAUCAGAAAAACAGAAGUAAGAAGAGAAAGGAGAGAAAUUUUCAGCGGGGAAGUGACAGCAUAGAGAUUCCAUGGGACUCCAAGAAAAGAAGACAGACAUGCUUCUGGAGGAAUUUGUGGGAGAAAUGAAUUUUACACUACCAAUCCAUGUAUAUGUGGAAGAUUCACUAAAUGUUAUGGAGAUUACCAUUCCUAAAGCAGGCUCCAUGGACCACUGGGAUCUUGAGGUACUACACCUAUUUGAAAUACAGUAUUUAUCUAUUUUUAUGCAUUUAUAUACAUAGCAUGCAUCUUAUAAUGAAUGUAAAUAUAUGUAUAGAUGUUUAUAUGUAAGCAUGCAUUUUCUAAAUGUAUACACUGUAAUGUUUCUGUAAUCUUUACAGAUAAAGAUACAGAUACACUAUAAAUUUUCUGUAAUCAAACAUGUGGGAGAAAUAUUAGGACUCAUUUGAAAAUGCUUCUUUGGUGGAGAGUUUUCCAGCUUUUUAGGUUGAUAUCAUUGUCAUCUGAUACAUCUAUUUACGGGAGGAUUCUGGAUUAUUAUUUACUGCAGUGCACCCUUAAAAUCAGUGCAAUAAAGUAUCACUUACAGGGAGAGGGAGAAUAAAG